UCGUCAGUCCCGCUUCCAGUUAAACAUUUACCGUGCACGCAUCAGGCCAGCGAACACCGAGCAGGCGGACGCGGACGGGACGACGACUGUGUGUGUGGCGUGCUCCAUCGUUUUAGAAUUUUGACUCUGCCCCGAACCCAGUGUAACGGUCAAACGAAAUUGAAAACGGACAAAAUUAAACCCCAGCAUCAGCAUCGGACCCCCAAAAAAGAAAGAGAUGCAAAAUAUAAUUUAAAUAAUUAUAAUACGAACGUGCGUGAGAAUUCCAACAAACAAAAUAAAUAAAAGUGAGAGUUGUGUUGAGGAAAUAUUUAAAUGGAAAUCUGCGGAAAGUCUGUUUGUGCUACUUGAAUGAAAAAUAAAUGCCAUUAGUGUGUGGAAAACAGCAAAUAUUUAUUCCUCUACAAGUAUAAGUAAAAUCACGAAAAAUCAAGAAAAGAAAAAUCAUUUGAAUGGAAAAGUGCUUGAGUCGAAAAUUGAAACUGUGGAACUAGAAUUUUCCACCGCACCGCACCGCACAAAAACUCAUUGUCUGUUGUCUCAGUUUCCAUUUCACUCACAUAUGUAUUUUCCAAUAUUCUGUGUGCUAUUAUUAAGAUAAUCAGUGCGACACUUGCCACCUGUUUGGCAGCAUUUUCGAAAAUACAUUUCUAUGCUAAAGACUUUCCGAAAGAAAGCCGUGAAAGUGAGAGUGAUUGAGCGUGCUGUUGACCCCCGCCCCAUAGUACACAUACGAGUACGAGUACGAGGGCGAGACAGGGCCACAAGGCAAGGUGUUGAGGAGGUCUGAAGAGGUCUAAGCCCUAAAGAGAGACAGCCGUACGGGGAAAAAAACAGAAAGAAGAAGGAAGAAAGGGCCGUCGACAAUCAGCAGAACAGAUCCACUCCAGCCAUAAAUCCCAGCCACAAACAGCCACUCCGGAGAUUGUCCGGUAUAGAUAUAGUGGAGUAAUACCCAUAAAAGUCAAUGUUCUGGGCGACAUCAAGCGAAAUCAUUUAAUAGGCAGCCGGCAGCUACGUUUUUAUUAAGCA
This is an RNA transcript of Drosophila obscura, 1032 nucleotides long. RefSeq lists it as uncharacterized. The transcript is spliced from 4 exons. Lineage: Eukaryota; Metazoa; Arthropoda; Insecta; Diptera; Drosophilidae. The record is from RefSeq and is a predicted model, not a curated record.